Non-coding RNA from Strongylocentrotus purpuratus (purple sea urchin), 70 nucleotides. The record is from Rfam. NCBI's taxonomy places the organism in Eukaryota, Metazoa, Echinodermata, Echinoidea, Camarodonta, Strongylocentrotidae.
GCAUUGUUGGUUCAGUGGUAGAAUUCUCGCCUGCCACGCGGGGACCCGGGUUCGAUUCCCGGACAAUGCA